UCGAGAAUCUUCCGCAAUGCACGAAAGUGUGACGGAGCGACGCCGCGUGAUUGAUGAAGCCCUUCGGGGUGUAAAGAUCUUUUAUGAGUGAAGAAGUAUAUUGACAUUAGCUCAUGAAUAAGGGGCUCCUAAUCUCGUGCCAGCAGGAGCGGUAAUACGAGAGCCCCAAGCAUUAUCCGGAAUUAUUGGGCGUAAAGGGUGCGUAGGUGGCUGUAUUAGUCGUAUUUCAAAGACCCGUGCUUAACAUGGG
RNAcentral lists this ribosomal RNA (250 nucleotides) under uncultured bacterium. RNAcentral describes it as "partial 16S ribosomal RNA". It matches the Rfam family "Bacterial small subunit ribosomal RNA", at positions 355 to 618 of the family's 1533-position model. The record is from RNAcentral.